AAUAGAUACCCGGGUAGUCCACGCCGUAAACGAUGAGUGCUAAGUGUUAGAGGGUUUCCGCCCUUUAGUGCUGCAGCUAACGCAUUAAGCACUCCGCCUGGGGAGUACGGCCGCAAGGCUGAAACUCAAAGGAAUUGACGGGGGCCCGCACAAGCGGUGGAGCAUGUGGUUUAAUUCGAAGCAACGCGAAGAACCUUACCAGGUCUUGACAUCCUCUGCCAACCCUAGAGAUAGGGCGUUCCCCUUCGGGGGACGAGAGUGACAGGUGGUGCAUGGUUGUCGUCAGCUCGUGUCGUGAGAUGUUGGGUUAAGUCCCGCAACGAGCGCAACCCUUGAUCUUAGUUGCCAGCAUUCAGUUGGGCACUCUAAGGUGACUGCCGGUGACAAACCGGAGGAAGGUGGGGAUGACGUCAAAUCAUCAUGCCCCUUAUGACCUGGGCUACACACGUGCUACAAUGGAUGGUACAAAGAGCUGCGAACCCGCGAGGGUAAGCGAAUCUCAUAAAGCCAUUCUCAGCUCGGAUUGUAGG
RNAcentral lists this ribosomal RNA (530 nucleotides) under uncultured bacterium. Its description in RNAcentral is "bacterial SSU rRNA". It matches the Rfam family "Bacterial small subunit ribosomal RNA", at positions 777 to 1304 of the family's 1533-position model. The record is from RNAcentral.